RNAcentral lists this non-coding RNA (22 nucleotides) under Arabidopsis thaliana (thale cress). The record is from RNAcentral. Lineage: Eukaryota; Viridiplantae; Streptophyta; Magnoliopsida; Brassicales; Brassicaceae.
AUGCUCGUUCGAAUGUUUGCUU